This 1071-nucleotide long non-coding RNA is filed under the name Homo sapiens (human). Its description in RNAcentral is "HSALNT0146030". Lineage: Eukaryota; Metazoa; Chordata; Mammalia; Primates; Hominidae. The record is from RNAcentral.
GGUGCCUGUCCUAAUUUCCUGAUCCAGGGAACCUGCCGCCGCAGCGGCUGUGCGCUCCCUACAGUCAUUACUGUACCCUCCCGGCAGCCUCCGGCAGAACACGCAGCAGCAGCAGCAGUUAGCGCUGAUGCAACUAUCGUUGCUGUUGCCACCGCCUCCCCACUGACGGGGCGUGCACCUGGGGGGUACUUGCAGUUUCCAGGGGCAACAAGCAUCUCUCUACCACCCUCUCCUGCGCCCCUGAGAGAGGCUGGCUCCAAGCUUGAUAUAGAAGACUAUCAUAUGAACCAGAAAGGGUAACUGAAACCAAAGAAAUGACUCCAGUAUCAAGCUAAAGACAUGCCUUAAAGGAUGAGGAGGAGCAGAAAUCUUACCAGCAAGGCAAGAAAGAAGCCGUACGUGAACAGCCUCUGCUUUAGGCCCAGAAGGAAAAGAAGCUUACAGGAGACAAUCAGUCUUACACUCUUCCAUGGUCACAAACAAGAGGUCCCUGGAUCUACAGAAAUGAAAGAACCAGAGCAUUAUAGCAGAACGAAUCCUGGAAUGGGAAUGGAAUGCCUGGAUUUGUGGCACAGUUGGGAAGCGUCCUGGCCAUGCCAUGUUAAAGCUGUCUCCAAGGCAGUGAUUCUUACCCUUGGCUACACAUUGGAGUCAUUUGGGAAGCUAGAAAAAAAAAAUGCCCAGGACCUGGGCAAGACGGCUGAAUAAGAACAGCUCUGGUCUGCAGUUCCUAGCAAGAUCAACGCAGAAGGGAAGCUGGCAGCCUGGGCUCUUGGAGAUUGUAUCUGGUGCCGGAGAGGACUGGCUCCCACACUCAGUGAGGGAGGAAUUUUACUGACCCAGCAUCCAGAUGAACUUUGGUGAGGAGAGGAGGUGAGGAAGUCAAUGAGCCUUGCUUUUUCACUUGCAAUUACGGCAUUUCCUUUGGAAAUGGACAUAAGAGCCUGGUGGUUGAUGAUGGAAGAGAUGAAACUGUGAAGAGACCGAAGAAGCUAAUCUAUCAAUAGUUAAGAUUCCAUUUCUAAAAGAUCUUACUUUGAGUCUACCUAUGCCUGGGAUGUCAAGAGGUAU